Seriola aureovittata is the source of this 1166-nucleotide long non-coding RNA. RefSeq lists it as uncharacterized. NCBI's taxonomy places the organism in Eukaryota, Metazoa, Chordata, Actinopteri, Carangiformes, Carangidae. The record is from RefSeq and is a predicted model, not a curated record. The transcript is spliced from 4 exons.
GGGUUCUAGCCUCUGAUUGGACCACUAGUCAAAUCUGGCAACACUGGCCAGGUACUGUUGUUGCCUCGCAAUGAACCGUCGAGCAGGUGUGAAGACGGCCCCUCUCUAUCGUGGAGCCUUUUACCCUCCAGGAGGAGGUGCUGCUGCCGGUGAUCCUGUGAUGGUGCGGUUCUGUCGACAAAAACAGAGCAUGGGAGAAGACAGCCACAUCCUGAGAGGGUUGGAGUGUUGUGUUGACAUGGCUGCUGUAGCUGCAUGAUGAGUCUGAAACAUUCACCAGCAUUUACCUCCAUCAUCCUGUGACAGACUUUUCCAGGCCUCUCCUCAAGUGCAUGCAGUGAAAAGCGCCUGCCUGAACAAGAUGUAGAAAGUGGCUGCACGGAUGAACCAACGUCAACUGGUGUCCGUGAAUUCAGAGGGAAGGAGGCGGAGUUCAUCUGGUGUAAUAAAAGUAAGCUUGGAGGAAAAUGUGACAGAUGUGGAGGCCUGUGCCAGUGAGAAAAGCGAGAGUGGGACUGUCAGACAUGUCGACUCCGGCGUAGUGAUGGAUGGAGAGUGAGGUAAGACAGAUGACAUCGUCUGUCUGAGGCCAUGUUGUCAUAGCGGAGGAUUGCCGCUUGUCUUAACCUCUCAAUAUCAGAGAGCAAACUGAAGUUUGUUUACACUGCUCCAGUGGAGUGAUUUAGAAUGAGGGGCAAGGGAGACGUGGGUGUAGAAGGUAUGCUUGCUGGAGGGUCGGAUCAGGUUUCUAAACAUUCCCUUUGAAAUCGAAUAGCAACCAUCCCAGGCGUUUUAAACUCAACCAGCCCCGUUUAGUUACAAUCCUCAAGGUAGAGAAGAGUCCAAACACAAAUACAAACAGAAAAUUGAGUAUCAAUAUAAGUAUUGGCCUUUAGUUCCCCAUAUUAGUCAACAUCCAGCCUGGAUUCUGGCUACUGAAAAAAAAAUGAAAAUAUGAGUGAAUUACUGUCUCUAGUUUGUUACAGAACCAGAAUAAAGCAAUAAAAAAACAAAAUAUCAUAGCUGUUAUAAUUACAGAGACGCACUAAAGUGUGCUAAAUAGAAGACCUUUUGACAAUACUUUGUUUUGUAUCAGUAAUAUGGAUGAUUGUCUCCCUGUGGAGGUAUGUCAGAAUUUUUCUGCUAACAAAAAGGUGAGUAAAAUG